This 253-nucleotide ribosomal RNA is filed under the name uncultured bacterium. RNAcentral's name for it is "partial 16S ribosomal RNA". It matches the Rfam family "Bacterial small subunit ribosomal RNA", at positions 524 to 776 of the family's 1533-position model. The record is from RNAcentral.
UACGUAGGGUGCAAGCGUUGUCCGGAAUUAUUGGGCGUAAAGAGCUCGUAGGCGGUUUGUCGCGUCUGCCGUGAAAGUCCGGGGCUCAACUCCGGAUCUGCGGUGGGUACGGGCAGACUAGAGUGAUGUAGGGGAGACUGGAAUUCCUGGUGUAGCGGUGAAAUGCGCAGAUAUCAGGAGGAACACCGGUGGCGAAGGCGGGUCUCUGGGCCGGAACUGACGCUAAGGAGCGAAAGCGUGGGGAGCGAACAGG